AUUGAACGCUGGCGGCAGGCUUAACACAUGCAAGUCGAGCGAGCGGCGGACGGGUGAGUAAUGUCUGGGAAACUGCCUGAUGGAGGGGGAUAACUACUGGAACCGGUAGCUAAUACCGCAUACCAUCAGAUGUUCCCAGAUGGGAUUAUCUAGUAGGUGGGGUAAUGGCUCACCUAGUCGACGCUCCCUAGCUGGUCUGAGAGGAUGACCAGCCAAACUGGAACUGAGACACGGUCCAGACGACUACGGGAGGCAGCAGUGGGGAAUAUUGCACAAUGGGCGCAAGCCUGAUGCAGCAAUGCCGCGUGUGUGAAGAAGGCCUUCGGGUUGUAAAGCACUUUCAGCGAGGAGGCGUUACUCGCAGAAGAAGCACCGGCUAACUCCGUGCCAGCAGCCGCGGUAAUAC
Molecule: ribosomal RNA, 406 nt
Filed under: uncultured bacterium
Lineage: Bacteria
Description: partial 16S ribosomal RNA
Rfam family: Bacterial small subunit ribosomal RNA
Source: RNAcentral